UCACAGUUUGCACUGGCAGUCUUGUUAGAGUCCCCGGCCGAACCGCUGGCAACUAAUGGUAGGGGUUGCGCUCGUUGCGGGACUUAACCCAACACCUCUCGGCACGAGCUGACGACAGCCAUGCAGCACCUAGUUUUGUGCCCUUGCGGGAAGCUCCCUUUCAGGAGCGGUCACUAACUUUCAAGCCCUGGUAAGGUUCCUCGCGUAUCAUCGAAUUAAACCACAUGCUCCUCCGCUUGUGCGGGCCCCCGUCAAUUCCUUUGAGUUUCACCGUUGCCGGCGUACUCCCCAGGUUGAUUACUUAUCGCUUUCGCUCAGCCACUGAAAGUUACCUCCCAGCAGCGAGUAAUCAUCGUUUACAGUGUGGACUAC
This 372-nucleotide unclassified non-coding RNA is filed under the name uncultured Sphingobacteriales bacterium. RNAcentral's name for it is "contains 16S-23S intergenic spacer region". The record is from RNAcentral. Lineage: Bacteria; Pseudomonadati; Bacteroidota; Sphingobacteriia; Sphingobacteriales.